GUUAAGCGACUAAGCGUACACGGUGGAUGCCCUGGCAGUCAGAGGCGAUGAAGGACGUGCUAAUCUGCGAAAAGCGUCGGUAAGGUGAUAUGAACCGUUAUAACCGGCGAUGUCCGAAUGGGGAAACCCAGUGCAAUUCGUUGCACUAUCGUUAACUGAAUACAUAGGUUAACGAGGCGAACCGGGGGAACUGAAACAUCUAAGUACCCCGAGGAAAAGAAAUCAACCGAGAUUCCCCCAGUAGCGGCGAGCGAACGGGGAGCAGCCCAGAGUCUGAAUCAGCUUGUGUGUUAGUGGAACGGUCUGGAAAGUCCGACGGUACAGGGUGAUAGUCCCGUACACCAAAAUGCACAGGCUGUGAACUCGAAGAGUAGGGCGGGACACGUGGUAUCCUGUCUGAAUAUGGGGGGACCAUCCUCCAAGGCUAAAUACUCCUGACUGACCGAUAGUGAACCAGUACCGUGAGGGAAAGGCGAAAAGAACCCCGGCGAGGGGAGUGAAAAAGAACCUGAAACCGUGUACGUACAAGCAGUGGGAGCACCUUCGGGUGUGACUGCGUACCUUUUGUAUAAUGGGUCAGCGACUUAUAUUCUGUAGCAAGGUUAACCGUAUAGGGGAGCCGCAGGGAAACCGAGUCUUAACUGGGCGUUAAGUUGCAGGGUAUAGACCCGAAACCCGGUGAUCUAGCCAUGGGCAGGUUGAAGGUUGGGUAACACUAACUGGAGGACCGAACCGACUAAUGUUGAAAAAUUAGCGGAUGACUUGUGGCUGGGGGUGAAAGGCCAAUCAAACCGGGAGAUAGCUGGUUCUCCCCGAAAGCUAUUUAGGUAGCGCCUCGUGAAUUCAUCUUCGGGGGUAGAGCACUGUUUCGGCUAGGGGGUCAUCCCGACUUACCAACCCGAUGCAAACUACGAAUACCGAAGAAUGUUAUCACGGGAGACACACGGCGGGUGCUAACGUCCGUCGUGAAGAGGGAAACAACCCAGACCGCCAGCUAAGGUCCCAAAGUCAUGGUUAAGUGGGAAACGAUGUGGGAAGGCACAGACAGCCAGGAUGUUGGCUUAGAAGCAGCCAUCAUUUAAAGAAAGCGUAAUAGCUCACUGGUCGAGUCGGCCUGCGCGGAAGAUGUAACGGGGCUAAACCAUGCACCGAAGCUGCGGCAGCGACACUAUGUGUUGUUGGGUAGGGGAGCGUUCUGUAAGCCUGCGAAGGUGUGCUGUGAGGCAUGCUGGAGGUAUCAGAAGUGCGAAUGCUGACAUAAGUAACGAUAAAGCGGGUGAAAAGCCCGCUCGCCGGAAGACCAAGGGUUCCUGUCCAACGUUAAUCGGGGCAGGGUGAGUCGACCCCUAAGGCGAGGCCGAAAGGCGUAGUCGAUGGGAAACAGGUUAAUAUUCCUGUACUUGGUGUUACUGCGAAGGGGGGACGGAGAAGGCUAUGUUAGCCGGGCGACGGUUGUCCCGGUUUAAGCAUGUAGGCUGGUUGUCCAGGCAAAUCCGGAUAA
RNAcentral lists this ribosomal RNA (1501 nucleotides) under Klebsiella pneumoniae subsp. pneumoniae. Its description in RNAcentral is "partial 23S ribosomal RNA". It matches the Rfam family "Bacterial large subunit ribosomal RNA", at positions 1 to 1549 of the family's 2925-position model. Lineage: Bacteria; Pseudomonadati; Pseudomonadota; Gammaproteobacteria; Enterobacterales; Enterobacteriaceae. The record is from RNAcentral.